RNAcentral lists this ribosomal RNA (253 nucleotides) under uncultured bacterium. Its description in RNAcentral is "partial 16S ribosomal RNA". It matches the Rfam family "Bacterial small subunit ribosomal RNA", at positions 524 to 776 of the family's 1533-position model. The record is from RNAcentral.
UACGUAGGGGGCAAGCGUUGUCCGGAAUCAUUGGGCGUAAAGAGCGUGUAGGCGGUUCGGUAAGUCGGCUGUGAAAGUCCAGGGCUCAACCCUGGGAUGCCGGUCGAUACUGCCGGACUAGAGUUCGGAAGAGGCGAGUGGAAUUCCCGGUGUAGCGGUGAAAUGCGCAGAUAUCGGGAGGAACACCUAUGGCGAAGGCAGCUCGCUGGGACGUUACUGACGCUGAGACGCGAAAGCGUGGGGAGCAAACAGG